UGGGUUGUGGCUCAGUGGUAGAGCACUUGCCUUGCAUGUGUGAGGCCCUGGGUUCGGUUCCCAGCACCACAU
This is a non-coding RNA of Ictidomys tridecemlineatus (thirteen-lined ground squirrel), 72 nucleotides long. NCBI's taxonomy places the organism in Eukaryota, Metazoa, Chordata, Mammalia, Rodentia, Sciuridae. The record is from Rfam.